RNAcentral lists this ribosomal RNA (528 nucleotides) under uncultured bacterium. RNAcentral describes it as "bacterial SSU rRNA". It matches the Rfam family "Bacterial small subunit ribosomal RNA", at positions 355 to 896 of the family's 1533-position model. The record is from RNAcentral.
UGAGGAAUAUUGCGCAAUGGGCGAAAGCCUGACGGAGCAAUACCGCGUGAGGGAUGACGGCCUAUGGGUUGUAAACCUCUUUUUUCAGGGAGGAAUAAAUGACGUGUACCUGAAGAAUAAGCAUCGGCUAACUCCGUGCCAGCAGCCGCGGUAAUACGGAGGGGGCUAGCGUUGUUCGGAAUUACUGGGCGUAAAGCGCACGUAGGCGGAUCGGUCAGUUGGGGGUGAAAUCCCGAGGCUUAACCUCGGAACUGCCCUCAAUACUGCCAGUCUUGAGUCCGGGAGAGGUGAGUGGAAUUCCUAGUGUAGAGGUGAAAUUCGUAGAUAUUAGGAAGAACACCAGUGGCGAAGGCGGCUCACUGGCCCGGUACUGACGCUGAGGUGCGAAAGCGUGGGGAGCGAACCGGAUUAGAUACCCGGGUAGUCCACGCCGUAAACGAUGAGUACUAGCUGUUCGUGGUAUCGACGCCUCGAGUAGCGAAGCUAACGCGUUAAGUUCUCCGCCUGGGGAGUACGCCGGCAACGGUA